AUACAUGCAGUGAGCAGAGAUGGGACUGGCUGUAGCUGUGCCUACAUGAAGCUGUAAUUGAUGUCUCAUCCUGAUAUUCUUGAUGUAUAUAGUUGAUUUUGGACACCUUAAUAUCAACUGAAGUGACUUCAUGCAGUCAAGGGUCUUCUACCCUCUUUUGUUUGAUUUGAUUAUCAUGAAAUACAGAUUGGCCUAUCAUACCCAAUAGAACCGCAA
Long non-coding RNA from Strongylocentrotus purpuratus (purple sea urchin), 216 nucleotides. RefSeq lists it as uncharacterized. NCBI's taxonomy places the organism in Eukaryota, Metazoa, Echinodermata, Echinoidea, Camarodonta, Strongylocentrotidae. The transcript is spliced from 2 exons. The record is from RefSeq and is a predicted model, not a curated record.